AUUUAGUCACGGGAUCCAAACACGCCCUAAGAUCAAGUGUAGUAUCAGUUUAAUAUCUGAUAUGUGGGCCAUGCAUCCACUUCGAUAUUAAAUUUAUUUUUUGUGGGGAGGGCCCACCACACUGGGGCUCUCGAGCGUAGCCGAGGCGUUGCACUGCUGCCUCGGCCUGCCGCACCCCAA
This 180-nucleotide small nuclear RNA is filed under the name Dichanthelium oligosanthes. Its description in RNAcentral is "U2 spliceosomal RNA". It matches the Rfam family "U2 spliceosomal RNA". From Rfam's summary of the family: U2 is a small nuclear RNA (snRNA) component of the spliceosome (involved in pre-mRNA splicing). Complementary binding between U2 snRNA (in an area lying towards the 5' end but 3' to hairpin I) and the branchpoint sequence (BPS) of the intron results the bulging out of an unpaired adenosine, on the BPS, which initiates a nucleophilic attack at the intronic 5' splice site, thus starting the first of two transesterification reactions that mediate splicing. Lineage: Eukaryota; Viridiplantae; Streptophyta; Magnoliopsida; Poales; Poaceae. The record is from Rfam by way of RNAcentral.